This is a long non-coding RNA of Cyprinus carpio (common carp), 1312 nucleotides long. Lineage: Eukaryota; Metazoa; Chordata; Actinopteri; Cypriniformes; Cyprinidae. The record is from Ensembl.
AGCUAAUCAUUUUAAUCAUUGCCAUACUGGGUCUGUCUUUCAUAACAUCAUUGAAUUUUAUAUGAGAGAAUUGGGUCCAAAUCUGUCUGAUAACUUUAGAGCCAGCCUGUUAUGAGAACUAGUCUGUAGACACAUAAAAAAAACCUGCUUUCAUUAUUCUUCAUCAAGCUUAUCAAACCUCUUGUGUUUGUUAAAGGAUGUGGCAAACAUGACCAUUCUAUUUCUGAAACUGUUGUGUGGUUUCCCUGGAAAAGCUCCCUAAUAGUUUGGAUGAAUAGAAACUUCAUUGGGCUUUCCCAAGGAUAAAAUCCUUGUCCUGGAAAAACUGUGUUUAAAUACUGUCGACUGAAGCAUACGAAGUAAGAAUUAGCUCCGAUAAAGGGUCCUGGGUUUUAAUUCAGGUUAAGAUUGUCUAUUCUUACACCCUGUUGACUUAAACAAAGGGAUUUUAUGGCAUUUUUCUAUACUCUAUUCCAUCAUCAGUGUGUUUAAGAUAUAUUCAUUGAUUUAACAGAGUCUCAGGAUGUUUAACUGGGUGGUGAAGGUUGUGCCACAUCCUCCUGAUACACAGGAAGAUCUGGGGGAGGAGGCGAUCACAUCGAUAAGUUCAGUUCAUCCAAAACAUGCAGGGAGGAAGACCAAUCAUCUCAAACAUCAAAAGAUAGGUGAGUCUUAACCGAUCUUUCCCAUAAAGUAUACAAAAAGACAUUCUCCAACUGUCUGCACAUGAAACAUGCUGAAAUCUGUUUGUUUCAGUGUUCAGAGUGGUAUGUUGAACUGGAUCUCCAACGGUUUUGCAAGCACACUGCCCCAGCCCGGGAGUCCUCUUCUUACGAGAGCCAACUCUGAUGCAAAAGUAUUUAUUUCAUGUCAUCUAAAGUAGUUUGAUAUUUAAUACCAUUUGGUGUUGCAUAUUAGUGUGCAUUCAAAGCAAAUUUUUUCUUUGCACAUUAACUUUUCUCUUAACCAUCUUGCAGUCGCUUCAGAAUGAAGGUUCUGUAGACAGGUAAGGUGAUGAACAGUAUUCCUAUCAUGUACAUCAGUCCACUGAGGAAUCAUUGUCCAUGAAGUGUGUUUGCAGCACACACAAACACACACUAACAGCGUGAGCGCUCUCUGUCUGCCAGGGCUGGAGUUAUUGGCUGGAUCUCACAGGGAAUUGGAAAAGUGGUCCCACAGCCUGAUGGGAAAUACAUACAGGAAAAGACAACAGAAUCUGAAGACGUCACAGAGGUUAGCAAACUAUGUGCAAGACUUAUUAGAAUAUUAGAAAUAACCAAAAAAGAAAAAUAUAAUCUAAAUUAUAUUAUUA